Molecule: long non-coding RNA, 1681 nt
Organism: Oryctolagus cuniculus (rabbit)
Lineage: Eukaryota; Metazoa; Chordata; Mammalia; Lagomorpha; Leporidae
Source: Ensembl
GAAAAAAAAAAGAAGGUUGCCCUUUGUUAAAAUUUCACAUGCUUCUCACUUUCCUAAGUCUUAUCAAAGUUCUAAAUCCUUUUUCUAGCAAGUGUGAGACUCUUCAAAAAAUACUUUCUGCAGAGAUCAAAAUUCUACAUUUCAGAUUGGGUUAAAUACAUUUUAUAAUUCGUCCCGCAGCUGUUGGAGAUAUAGGGGAGUAAAAUGAGAAUUACUCUCAACAGAGCAGUUUUGAAAAUGAAACCAAAUCUUCAUGCUCAACUUGACAUUGGAAUUUAAAGUUAUUUUUACAGGCUCCACUGCAGUCACUAUGUGAAACAUUAAAAAACGUAAUAGAAUAUAAUGUUAAGAGUUAAAGCAUUUCUUUUCUUCCAACAGUGUGAAAAGCAAAAUAAAAAAACAGGAGUACAAAUUAUAUCUUGUUAUCACCUUUCACGCUUUUCCAUAUUUACGCUUUUAACCAAACAACACAUUUUCCUGUGGAAGAUGUUUCCUUCCUUUUAAUGAUCCCCAGAGUUGCUGCCUCGGCAGGUAAAGCUUUUCUUAACUUGAAAACAUGUUGGGUGUGCGUUGGGGAUGAGAGAGCAAAUCCUUCAAGGAAAAUCACAUUUCCUCUGAGAUGCAGUGAGAUAUGUAAGUAGAACCGUUACUAGUCCUUGAAACAUGGAGGGGCGGGAACAGUUUCAGAAAUCCCUCCUGGGGACAGAUUUACUUUUGAUUGUAGAAAAUUGUGGCUGUAUGACAUCACUGAAAUCAAAUAGAAAAAAACGAAGGAGGAAUACCCUUCGUGAUUGAGCUCAAGAAAGAAGGAAGCUAAGCAAAAGCACGCGCAUGGAAAAGCUGCAUCCACUUUGUACUGGCAUGGCAGGACCGGGCCAGUCCUGUGGACCUGCACUGCCUUUGCCUGCUGUCCUGCUCUACUUCCUCUUUAUUUGCAUUCCUUGUCCACACGUGCUCAUCCUGGUCCUGGCCUUGAGAAGAUCCACCUGCUUUUCUGUGAUUUGAGAGAUGGCAAGUGGUUCACAAAACACCUAUUUCUGGUUUGAAAUAUGAGUUGUGGUUUCCUACUCAUUAAACAUUUGCUAUGUUUUUAAGACACUUUGUCUAAGAGUUGCUAAAGUGCUUGUAAAGUAAUGGUUGUUGCGGGAGUUCUCAAAUUCCCCGAGGAACUAAUCUUUUCGUUGUUAUUCUUUAAAUAGAACUGGAAUUUGCUUAAGAUGGCAGUGGGUACCUGUGGUGAUUUCUAAGACAGGAGUUGAGGGAGGAUACCAAGUCACAUGCAUGUGUGAUCUUUGGGUUAAAAAGCAAAUUCCUCACUUUGAGAGCUCAGCUGAGUCCUUUCCUUUGGAGAAAUAGAAGAAAAAAAAAUUCCAGCAGCCUUGGUAAGCGUUCUUGUCACACGUUUAAUCCACUCACGGUACAGAACUUGAUCUGCAAUUUAGCGGUACCAUGUGAGGUGAUGGGUGGGGUGUGGUCUUUGGGCCACAGGAAACCUCAAGCAUGCGAAGCUGGAUGGUGACCUCUGGAAGCCACGGGGCUGUGAGGACGGUGUGCCAAUUACCGGGCAAAACAACAGCCAGCAAUUUCUACACACCCAUCAGGAGAUAUGAAAAACAGAGUGCAUACAUUUUUUAAUUUAGUGCAUUUUUGCUGGUCAAUAAAUGUAUAAUAAUCAUCGUCA